AAAUUGAAGAGUUUGAUCAUGGCUCAGAUUGAACGCUGGCGGCAGGCCUAACACAUGCAAGUCGAACGGUAACAGGAAGCAGCUUGCUGCUUUGCUGACGAGUGGCGGACGGGUGAGUAAUGUCUGGGAAACUGCCUGAUGGAGGGGGAUAACUACUGGAAACGGUAGCUAAUACCGCAUAACGUCGCAAGACCAAA
Molecule: ribosomal RNA, 197 nt
Filed under: Escherichia coli
Lineage: Bacteria; Pseudomonadati; Pseudomonadota; Gammaproteobacteria; Enterobacterales; Enterobacteriaceae
Description: partial 16S ribosomal RNA
Rfam family: Bacterial small subunit ribosomal RNA
Source: RNAcentral